This 115-nucleotide ribosomal RNA is filed under the name Candidatus Pacearchaeota archaeon. Lineage: Archaea; Nanobdellati. The record is from RNAcentral.
GAAGACGGCCAUAGUAACCUGGAAAUACCCGAACUCAUCCCGAACUCGGAAGUCAAGCAGGUUACGCCUACUGUGUUAGUCUCCCACAAGAGGCGAAGCUUGGGUGCUGUCUUCG